Molecule: ribosomal RNA, 2895 nt
Filed under: Escherichia coli
Lineage: Bacteria; Pseudomonadati; Pseudomonadota; Gammaproteobacteria; Enterobacterales; Enterobacteriaceae
Description: bacterial LSU rRNA
Rfam family: Bacterial large subunit ribosomal RNA
Source: RNAcentral
ACUAAGCGUACACGGUGGAUGCCCUGGCAGUCAGAGGCGAUGAAGGACGUGCUAAUCUGCGAUAAGCGUCGGUAAGGUGAUAUGAACCGUUAUAACCGGCGAUUUCCGAAUGGGGAAACCCAGUGUGAUUCGUCACACUAUCAUUAACUGAAUCCAUAGGUUAAUGAGGCGAACCGGGGGAACUGAAACAUCUAAGUACCCCGAGGAAAAGAAAUCAACCGAGAUUCCCCCAGUAGCGGCGAGCGAACGGGGAGGAGCCCAGAGCCUGAAUCAGUGUGUGUGUUAGUGGAAGCGUCUGGAAAGGCGCGCGAUACAGGGUGACAGCCCCGUACACAAAAAUGCACAUGCUGUGAGCUCGAUGAGUAGGGCGGGACACGUGGUAUCCUGUCUGAAUAUGGGGGGACCAUCCUCCAAGGCUAAAUACUCCUGACUGACCGAUAGUGAACCAGUACCGUGAGGGAAAGGCGAAAAGAACCCCGGCGAGGGGAGUGAAAAAGAACCUGAAACCGUGUACGUACAAGCAGUGGGAGCACAGAGCAAUCUGUGUGACUGCGUACCUUUUGUAUAAUGGGUCAGCGACUUAUAUUCUGUAGCAAGGUUAACCGAAUAGGGGAGCCGAAGGGAAACCGAGUCUUAACUGGGCGUUAAGUUGCAGGGUAUAGACCCGAAACCCGGUGAUCUAGCCAUGGGCAGGUUGAAGGUUGGGUAACACUAACUGGAGGACCGAACCGACUAAUGUUGAAAAAUUAGCGGAUGACUUGUGGCUGGGGGUGAAAGGCCAAUCAAACCGGGAGAUAGCUGGUUCUCCCCGAAAGCUAUUUAGGUAGCGCCUCGUGAAUUCAUCUCCGGGGGUAGAGCACUGUUUCGGCAAGGGGGUCAUCCCGACUUACCAACCCGAUGCAAACUGCGAAUACCGGAGAAUGUUAUCACGGGAGACACACGGCGGGUGCUAACGUCCGUCGUGAAGAGGGAAACAACCCAGACCGCCAGCUAAGGUCCCAAAGUCAUGGUUAAGUGGGAAACGAUGUGGGAAGGCCCAGACAGCCAGGAUGUUGGCUUAGAAGCAGCCAUCAUUUAAAGAAAGCGUAAUAGCUCACUGGUCGAGUCGGCCUGCGCGGAAGAUGUAACGGGGCUAAACCAUGCACCGAAGCUGCGGCAGCGACGCUGAUGCGUUGUUGGGUAGGGGAGCGUUCUGUAAGCCUGCGAAGGUGUGCUGUGAGGCAUGCUGGAGGUAUCAGAAGUGCGAAUGCUGACAUAAGUAACGAUAAAGCGGGUGAAAAGCCCGCUCGCCGGAAGACCAAGGGUUCCUGUCCAACGUUAAUCGGGGCAGGGUGAGUCGACCCCUAAGGCGAGGCCGAAAGGCGUAGUCGAUGGGAAACAGGUUAAUAUUCCUGUACUUGGUGUUACUGUGAAGGGGGGACGGAGAAGGCUAUGUUGGCCGGGCGACGGUUGUCCCGGUUUAAGCGUGUAGGCUGGUUUUCCAGGCAAAUCCGGAAAACUAAGGCUGAGGCGUGAUGACGAGGCACUACGGUGCUGAAGCAACAAAUGCCCUGCUUCCAGGAAAAGCCUCUAAGCAUCAGGUAACAUCAAAUCGUACCCCAAACCGACACAGGUGGUCAGGUAGAGAAUACCAAGGCGCUUGAGAGAACUCGGGUGAAGGAACUAGGCAAAAUGGUGCCGUAACUUCGGGAGAAGGCACGCUGAUAUGUAGGUGAAGUCCCUCGCGGAUGGAGCUGAAAUCAGUCGAAGAUACCAGCUGGCUGCAACUGUUUAUUAAAAACACAGCACUGUGCAAACACGAAAGUGGACGUAUACGGUGUGACGCCUGCCCGGUGCCGGAAGGUUAAUUGAUGGGGUCAGCGCAAGCGAAGCUCUUGAUCGAAGCCCCGGUAAACGGCGGCCGUAACUAUAACGGUCCUAAGGUAGCGAAAUUCCUUGUCGGGUAAGUUCCGACCUGCACGAAUGGCGUAAUGAUGGCCAGGCUGUCUCCACCCGAGACUCAGUGAAAUUGAACUCGCUGUGAAGAUGCAGUGUACCCGCGGCAAGACGGAAAGACCCCGUGAACCUUUACUAUAGCUUGACACUGAACAUUGAGCCUUGAUGUGUAGGAUAGGUGGGAGGCUUUGAAGUGUGGACGCCAGUCUGCAUGGAGCCGACCUUGAAAUACCACCCUUUAAUGUUUGAUGUUCUAACGUUGACCCGUAAUCCGGGUUGCGGACAGUGUCUGGUGGGUAGUUUGACUGGGGCGGUCUCCUCCUAAAGAGUAACGGAGGAGCACGAAGGUUGGCUAAUCCUGGUCGGACAUCAGGAGGUUAGUGCAAUGGCAUAAGCCAGCUUGACUGCGAGCGUGACGGCGCGAGCAGGUGCGAAAGCAGGUCAUAGUGAUCCGGUGGUUCUGAAUGGAAGGGCCAUCGCUCAACGGAUAAAAGGUACUCCGGGGAUAACAGGCUGAUACCGCCCAAGAGUUCAUAUCGACGGCGGUGUUUGGCACCUCGAUGUCGGCUCAUCACAUCCUGGGGCUGAAGUAGGUCCCAAGGGUAUGGCUGUUCGCCAUUUAAAGUGGUACGCGAGCUGGGUUUAGAACGUCGUGAGACAGUUCGGUCCCUAUCUGCCGUGGGCGCUGGAGAACUGAGGGGGGCUGCUCCUAGUACGAGAGGACCGGAGUGGACGCAUCACUGGUGUUCGGGUUGUCAUGCCAAUGGCACUGCCCGGUAGCUAAAUGCGGAAGAGAUAAGUGCUGAAAGCAUCUAAGCACGAAACUUGCCCCGAGAUGAGUUCUCCCUGACUCCUUGAGAGUCCUGAAGGAACGUUGAAGACGACGACGUUGAUAGGCCGGGUGUGUAAGCGCAGCGAUGCGUUGAGCUAACCGGUACUAAUGAACCGUGAGGCUUAACC